GUCGGAGUGGCGGAAUUGGUAGACGCGCUAGCUUGAGGGGCUAGUGCCCUUUAUCGGGCGUGGGGGUUCAAGUCCCCCCUCCGACC
Molecule: transfer RNA, 86 nt
Filed under: Actinomycetota bacterium
Lineage: Bacteria; Bacillati; Actinomycetota
Description: tRNA-Leu
Rfam family: tRNA
About the family: Transfer RNA (tRNA) molecules are approximately 80 nucleotides in length. Their secondary structure includes four short double-helical elements and three loops (D, anti-codon, and T loops).
Source: RNAcentral